UAUCAUGGCUCAGGAUGAACGCUAGCUACAGGCUUAACACAUGCAAGUCGAGGGGCAGCAUGAACUUAGCUUGCUAAGUUUGAUGGCGACCGGCGCACGGGUGAGUAACACGUAUCCAACCUGCCGAUGACUCGGGGAUAGCCUUUCGAAAGAAAGAUUAAUACCCGGUGGCAUAGUUCUUCCGCAUGGUAGAACUAUUAAAGAAUUUCGGUCAUCGAUGGGGAUGCGUUCCAUUAGGUUG
This 241-nucleotide ribosomal RNA is filed under the name uncultured bacterium. RNAcentral describes it as "partial 16S ribosomal RNA". It matches the Rfam family "Bacterial small subunit ribosomal RNA", at positions 15 to 248 of the family's 1533-position model. The record is from RNAcentral.